GUGAGGAAUAUUGCGCAAUGGAGGCAACUCUGACGCAGCCAUGCCGCGUGCAGGAAGAAGGCGCUACGCGUUGUAAACUGCUUUUAACCGGGAAGAAACCCCAGGACGUGUCCUGGGUUGACGGUACCGGAGGAAUAAGCACCGGCUAACUUCGUGCCAGCAGCCGCGGUCAUACGAAGGGUGCAAGCGUUAUCCGGAUUCAUUGGGUUUAAAGGGUGCGUAGGCGGAGCGUUAAGUCAGUGGUGAAAGCCUGCAGCUUAACUGUAGAAUUGCCAUUGAUACUGGCGCGCUUGAGUGCGCUUGAAGUGGGCGGAAUGUGCCGUGUAGCGGUGAAAUGCUUAGAUAUGGCACAGAACACCAAUUGCGAAGGCAGCUCACUAAGGCGAUACUGACGCUGAGGCACGAAAGCGUGGGGAUCGAACAGGAUUAGAAACCCGGGUAGUCC
Molecule: ribosomal RNA, 445 nt
Filed under: uncultured bacterium
Lineage: Bacteria
Description: partial 16S ribosomal RNA
Rfam family: Bacterial small subunit ribosomal RNA
Source: RNAcentral